This 249-nucleotide ribosomal RNA is filed under the name uncultured bacterium. RNAcentral describes it as "partial 16S ribosomal RNA". It matches the Rfam family "Bacterial small subunit ribosomal RNA", at positions 110 to 353 of the family's 1533-position model. The record is from RNAcentral.
GUAACGCGUGAGUAACCUGCCUUUCAGAGGGGGAGUAACGUUCUGAAAAGAAACGCUAAUACCGCAUGAGACUACAGAGCUGCAUGGCUCAGUGGUCAAAGGAGCAAUCCGCUGAAAGAUGGACUCGCGUCCGAUUAGAUAGUAGGCGGGGUAACGGCCCACCAAGGCAACGAUCAGUAGCCGGUCUGAGAGGAUGAACGGCCACAUUGGAACUGAGACACGGUCCAAACUCCUACGGGAGGCAGCAUG